Molecule: transfer RNA, 71 nt
Filed under: Marmota monax (woodchuck)
Lineage: Eukaryota; Metazoa; Chordata; Mammalia; Rodentia; Sciuridae
Description: tRNA.Ala
Rfam family: tRNA
About the family: Transfer RNA (tRNA) molecules are approximately 80 nucleotides in length. Their secondary structure includes four short double-helical elements and three loops (D, anti-codon, and T loops). Further hydrogen bonds mediate the characteristic L-shaped molecular structure. tRNAs have two regions of fundamental functional importance: the anti-codon, which is responsible for specific mRNA codon recognition, and the 3' end, to which the tRNAs corresponding amino acid is attached (by aminoacyl-tRNA synthetases). tRNAs cope with the degeneracy of the genetic code in two manners: having more than one tRNA (with a specific anti-codon) for a particular amino acid; and 'wobble' base-pairing, i.e. permitting non-standard base-pairing at the 3rd anti-codon position.
Source: RNAcentral
GAGGUUGUGGCUCAGAGGUAGAGUGCUUGCCUAGCAUGUAAUAGGCACUGGGUUCAAUCCUCAGCACCACA